AUGGGGGAGACGAAGGCAGCGUUGAGAGGUAGGGGACGGGCAGCUCCUGCGCGGAGGAAGGCCGCCGGCGGUCAGCACAGCACCGGCGGAGCAGGAGGUCGUUGGCCGCGGCAGGGGAUCGGGCUGGCGCCGUCCCAAGUGGAUCCCUGCCGGGGGAGUUCGCCGCCGCGUAUUGGCGGCGGAUCCGGGGAUGCGCGGUGGUUGGGGAGUGCAUCACGGUUGGUGGUUGGUCUCCGGGGGAGCUCGACCACAGCGGCGGCCUGCGGCGCGCGGAGAGGCGGUGGCAAGCGGAGGAGCGGGGGUCCGACGGUGCACGGGGGGAGAGGGCGGGUCCGGCAGCGCGUCCCCGGCCCCCUCGCCGCCCCGCUGCUCCCGCGCCUGAGCCGGCCCCCGCGCCGCCCCACUCCUGGAUCCGGCCGCCUUCCCACCUUGCUCCCCCGGCAGCACCCGCCUCAGGCCGACGGCGCGACGAGGCCGAGCUCAGCCGCGCUCGCCACCCCGACGGCUCUCCCCGCACCAGCCACCUCCGCCCUUGCCUCCAACCACCGCCCCGAGCCCCCGACCACCUCCACCACCGCCCUCUGCCCCGACCACCUCCCUUCCACCCGCCCCCAAAUUCCCCUCCGGCGUGACCUUCCCACCACUCCGCCGCGACCUUCCCUCCCCUCCGACGCGGCCUGCCCUCCGCCCCUGUUUCUUGCACCGUGCUGCCGUCCCCACUCGCAAAUCGAGCCAGUUUACCAACUAGUGCUAUCGGCCUCUGCAGCAAAACCUGAACCAUCUUCUCUUGAAUUCCUCCAGCCUAACACACCCGUGAGAUCGCCUGACUACGACAACGACGUGCAAGGGACCCUCACCAUGGGUGUCGCGGACGAGUACGUGGGCGCCGUCAUCGGCUAUGCCGGGAGGACCAUACGUGAGAUCGAACGGGUUACGGGCGUGCCGAUCAGUAUCUCUAAUGGGGAGCUCAAAGCUGGGACGAGCGAGAGGGAGGUGGUGAUCAGCGGGACACGGGAGGCGGUCGAUGCGGCGGAGGCGAUGAUCGUGCAGCGGGUCUCGGACGCCGCCAAUAGUCGCCGCCGGCAGCAGGGUGGCGGUGGUGGUGACAGGCGGCCUGUCAAGGAAGUGGAGUAG
RNAcentral lists this ribosomal RNA (1134 nucleotides) under Triticum aestivum (bread wheat). RNAcentral's name for it is "partial small subunit ribosomal RNA". Lineage: Eukaryota; Viridiplantae; Streptophyta; Magnoliopsida; Poales; Poaceae. The record is from RNAcentral.